Molecule: ribosomal RNA, 661 nt
Filed under: Fusarium proliferatum
Lineage: Eukaryota; Fungi; Ascomycota; Sordariomycetes; Hypocreales; Nectriaceae
Description: eukaryotic LSU rRNA
Rfam family: Eukaryotic large subunit ribosomal RNA
Source: RNAcentral
AGUGAAGCGGCAACAGCUCAAAUUUGAAAUCUGGCUCUCGGGCCCGAGUUGUAAUUUGUAGAGGAUACUUUUGAUGCGGUGCCUUCCGAGUUCCCUGGAACGGGACGCCAUAGAGGGUGAGAGCCCCGUCUGGUUGGAUGCCAAAUCUCUGUAAAGUUCCUUCGACGAGUCGAGUAGUUUGGGAAUGCUGCUCUAAAUGGGAGGUAUAUGUCUUCUAAAGCUAAAUACCGGCCAGAGACCGAUAGCGCACAAGUAGAGUGAUCGAAAGAUGAAAAGCACUUUGAAAAGAGAGUUAAAAAGUACGUGAAAUUGUUGAAAGGGAAGCGUUUAUGACCAGACUUGGGCUUGGUUAAUCAUCUGGGGUUCUCCCCAGUGCACUUUUCCAGUCCAGGCCAGCAUCAGUUUUCCCCGGGGGAUAAAGACUUCGGGAAUGUGGCUCUCUUCGGGGAGUGUUAUAGCCCGUUGUGUAAUACCCUGGGGGGGACUGAGGUUCGCGCAUCUGCAAGGAUGCUGGCGUAAUGGUCAUCAACGACCCGUCUUGAAACACGGACCAAGGAGUCGUCUUCGUAUGCGAGUGUUCGGGUGUCAAACCCCUACGCGUAAUGAAAGUGAACGCAGGUGAGAGCUUCGGCGCAUCAUCGACCGAUCCUGAUGUUCUCGG